GGAUCACGCCGCGUGAGUGAAGAAGGUUUCGGAUCGUAAAACUCUGUUGUUAGGGAAGAACAAGUGCGUUCGAAUAGGGCGGCGCCUUGACGGUACCUAACCAGAAAGCCACGGCUAACUACGUGCCAGCAGCCGCGGUAAUACGUAGGUGGCAAGCGUUGUCCGGAAUUAUUGGGCGUAAAGCGCGCGCAGGUGGUUUCUUAAGCUCUGAUGUGAAAGCCCACGGCUCAACCGUGCGAGGGUCAUUGGAAACUGGGGAACUUGAGUGCAGAAGAGGAACGUGGAAUUCCAAGUGUAGCGGUGAAAUGCGUAGAUAUUCGGAGGAACACCAGUGGCGACAGGCGACUUUCUGGUCUGUCACUGACACUGAGGCGCGAAAGCGUGGGGAGCAAACCACGGAUUAGAUACCCUGGUAGUCCACGCCGUAGACGAUGAGUGCUAAGUG
RNAcentral lists this ribosomal RNA (445 nucleotides) under uncultured bacterium. RNAcentral describes it as "bacterial SSU rRNA". It matches the Rfam family "Bacterial small subunit ribosomal RNA", at positions 389 to 822 of the family's 1533-position model. The record is from RNAcentral.